Salmo salar (Atlantic salmon) is the source of this 54-nucleotide non-coding RNA. The record is from Rfam. NCBI's taxonomy places the organism in Eukaryota, Metazoa, Chordata, Actinopteri, Salmoniformes, Salmonidae.
UCCCUGUUUUGUUGUAAGUCGCUCUGGAUAAGAGCGUCUGCUAAAUGACUUAAA